UUGAUGCAGCCAAAAAAUAAAAUGAAAGAAAUUUAUGAAAAUGAGGGAAACUGUUUCAGGUGACAUUCAAACUGGAAACUGAUCUCUUUCCACCAAAAAGCCCGCAUGGCCUUAAUACUCAGCUCUAAGAAGGCAUUUCAGAUGCACACAGGUAGAGGCUAAACUGACAGUCAUGCUCACUGGAUUCAGAGGAUUUAGGCUGCAGCCUUCAGUAGGAUAAGAACAUGCACAGAGGGACUGGGGAUUCCCAGAAAUUGCUGCGUCAGCCCUCAGACCAGGAAGUCGCUCAGCACUGAUCGGAUGAAACAGACAACACGGGAGGCAGGAGCACGGUGACUGCUGAGGCAAGACCAACUGGGACAACGAUGGAGUGGGAGCUCCAAACACAGCACCACACACACACACUCAAAGGCCUUCCUGAGUUUUUAGUUAAGAAUCCUUGCAUGCGAAGGACCCUUCCAGAGGCUGCUGAAGAGAAGGAUCUGAUGGAAAGCAGGAGAAGAAGAUGGAAAGAUGAGCUGCUGACCUUCCCUGCACAGUGAUGGAAGGAUGCUGGAGAGAGGCUGUGCCCAUUCUGGGCUCCAAACAGCACAAGGUUCUGAACCUGGGCUUGGAAAGGAAGAGACCAGGAGCUCUAGGCUAGUAGUAUGGUUUAUGAAGACACUUAAAAAGAGAGUGGCUGGCCUGAGGAUCUGUUGGUGUGUCUUGUGUCAGCAGACAGUCUCACAGUGGCUGUGAGGAGCUCCUUGAACACUUCCAUCAGCCCUGCCUUGGCCUUGGCCACCCUAUCCUGCUCCAGGGUCUCCAGCAAUCAGCCCUGGUUCACAGAAAACCUCUUCUACAUCUCAGAGAGGCCAGUUCUAGCUCUUUGAAGAGCUUUCUGGAAAGGGCCCUUAAGUUUUGAUGAGUUUUCUUUACCAGGUUCCUAUGAGCCUGGUCUGCAGAGUGGUCCAGCAUCAACCCUUCUCCUCACAACAUUUAGAAGGUAACCCCCUGCUUAAAAUCUUCAGUGAUACCCCUCAACCUUCUCCCACUCCCAUGCCUCCAUGAUAAAAUUCUAACUCAAGCUGUCCCUGCCCUGGUUCCUGCCUCAACUGGCCACACUGCCCCAUGCUGUCUACACUAAAACAAACCUAGACUCACCGAGCUCCUUGGAUGCAUCAGGUUCACUCUUGACUCAGAGCUUCUGUGCAUGCAGUUUUCUGCCUGGAUCACUCUUCACCUACAUGCCACAUGGCCUCAAGCCUCUCUUCUCAAGUCUCAGCCCUUCUUGAAACACCUCCCUGGUUGGGUUUGGUCACCUCCCUAUAUGAUUCUACAUACCCAGGACAUCCCCACCGGAGCCUGAUGAGUGUUACUGCUAGUUUAAUAGUGCAGCAUAAGCUCUCUAGGGCUAGAGUCCAUAUCUGUUUGUAUCAUUUUGGCAUCCAAGGUGCCUAGCAUAGUGCCAACACAGAAUAAGUGUUCACUAAACAGUGAAGACAAAAAUGAAAGAGAACUUUCCCUGCCCCCAUCCUACAGUGCCUCCAGGGGCGAGUCCCUCCUUGAAGUCUUUUGUUGGUUAAAAAUCCCUGGGGGUUUCUGAUUUAGAGUCUUUCCCUUGAGGGCUGCACUAUGUUUUAAGAAAAUGCCUAUUCCCAGCUGCACAGUUUAGGUACAU
This is a non-coding RNA of Odocoileus virginianus texanus, 1660 nucleotides long. The record is from RefSeq and is a predicted model, not a curated record. NCBI's taxonomy places the organism in Eukaryota, Metazoa, Chordata, Mammalia, Artiodactyla, Cervidae.